AGGUCAAGCUACAAAGGGCGCAUGGUGAAUGCCUUGGCAUCAGGAGCCGAUGAAGGACGUGAUAAGCUGCGAUAAGCUUCGGGUAGGCGCACAUAGCCUGAGAUCCGAAGAUCUCCGAAUGAGGAAACUCACAUGGGAAACCCCAUGUAUCAUUAAGUGAAUACAUAGCUUAAUGAAGGUAACCCAGGGAACUGAAACAUCUAAGUACCUGGAGGAAGAGAAAGAAAAAUCGAUUUUCUUAGUAGCGGCGAGCGAAAGGGAAAGAGCCCAAACCGGAAACUUGUUUCCGGGGUUGUGGACAUAGCAUCAAAGUGGAGGCUAUUGUAACUGAAGAGAACUGGAAAGUUCCACCGUAGAAGGUAAUAGUCCUGUAAGUGAAACGAGAAGACCACGAGUUAUGAUCCAGAGUACCACGAGACACGUGAAACCUUGUGGGAAGCAGGGAGGACCACCUCCCAAGGCUAAAUACUACCUGAUGACCGAUAGUGAAGCAGUACCGUGAGGGAAAGGUGAAAAGAACCCCGGGAGGGGAGUGAAAUAGAACCUGAAACCGUGUGCCUACAACCGCUCAGAGCCCCUUAUGAGGGUGAUGAGGUGCUUUUUGUAGAACGAGCCAACGAGUUACGGUAUGUAGCAAGGUUAAGUACUUAAGGUACGGAGCCGAAGGGAAACCGAGUCUGAAUAGGGCGACUAGUUGCAUGCCGUAGACCCGAAACCGGGUGACCUAUCCAUGGCCAGGUUGAAGCGAGGGUAAAACCUCGUGGAGGACCGAACCACGUUGCUGUUGAAAAAGCAUGGGAUGAGCUGUGGAUAGCGGAGAAAUUCCAAUCGAACCCGGAGAUAGCUGGUUCUCUCCGAAAUAGCUUUAGGGCUAGCGUCGAGUAUGAGUAGUGGAGGUAGAGCACUGAAUGGGCUAGGGGGCAUAGCGCUUACCGAACCUUAUCAAACUCCGAAUGCCACAUACUUUGAGCUCGGCAGUCAGACUACGAAUGAUAAGAUCCGUGGUCAAAAGGGAAACAGCCCAGAUCGUCAGCUAAGGUCCCAAAGUGUAAGUUAAGUGGGAAAGGAUGUGAGAUUUCUAAGACAACUAGGAUGUUGGCUUAGAAGCAGCCAUUCAUUAAAAGAGUGCGUAAUAGCUCACUAGUCGAGAGAUCUUGCGCCGAAAAUGUAACGGGGCUAAACUUACCACCGAAGCUACGGGCUUGAACAUAGUUCAAGCGGUAGGAGAGCGUCGUAACCGGGCUGAAGUCGUACCGUAAGGAGCGGUGGACUGGUUACGAGUGAGAAUGUUGGCAUCAGUAGCGAGAUGUGGGUGAGAAUCCCACAGGCCGAAAACCUAAGGUUUCCUCAGGAAGGUUCGUCCGCUGAGGGUUAGUCGGGACCUAAGCCGAGGCCGAAAGGCGUAGGUGAUGGACAACUGGUUGAUAUUCCAGUACCACUACCAUCGUUAUUAUCGAUGGCGUGACGCAGGAGGAUAGUGUGUGCUAGCUAUUGGAUGCUA
RNAcentral lists this ribosomal RNA (1501 nucleotides) under Clostridium perfringens. RNAcentral describes it as "partial 23S ribosomal RNA". It matches the Rfam family "Bacterial large subunit ribosomal RNA", at positions 1 to 1509 of the family's 2925-position model. The record is from RNAcentral. Lineage: Bacteria; Bacillati; Bacillota; Clostridia; Eubacteriales; Clostridiaceae.